RNAcentral lists this ribosomal RNA (2868 nucleotides) under Mesostigma viride. RNAcentral describes it as "bacterial LSU rRNA". It matches the Rfam family "Bacterial large subunit ribosomal RNA". The record is from RNAcentral. Lineage: Eukaryota; Viridiplantae; Streptophyta; Mesostigmatophyceae; Mesostigmatales; Mesostigmataceae.
UCAAAUGAACAAAGGGCUUACGGUGGAUACCUAGGCAUCCAGAGACGACGAAGGGCGUACUAAUCGACGAAACGCUCCGGGGAGCUGACAAGAAGCAUUGAUCCGGAGAUCCCCGAAUAGGGCAACCUCUUGAACUCUCCGCUGAAUAAAUAGGCGGAGCAGAGACAACCUGGUGAAUUGAAACAUCUUAGUAGCCAGAGGAAAAGAAAGCAAAAGCGAUUCCCUUAGUAGCGGCGAGCGAAAGGGGAACAGUCUAAACCAGAAAAAUUCGUUUUUCUGGGGUUGUGGGACAGCAUUAUGAAUGAAAACUUGCUAGGUGAAGCAACUGAAUAUUGCACCAUAGAUGGUGAAAGUCCAGUAACCGAAAGUGUGUUUUCAAUCCAGCUGAAUCCCGAGUAGCAUGGGGCACGUGAAAUCCCGUGUGAAUCCGCGAGGACCACCUCGUAAGACUAAAUACUCCUGGGUGACCGAUAGCGAAAUAGUACCGUGAGGGAAAGGUGAAAAGAACCCCCAUCGGGGAGUGAAAUAGAACAUGAAACCGUAAGCUUACAAGCAGUGGGAGGAGGUUUUGAUCUCUGACCGCGUGCCUAUUGAAGAAUGAGCCGGCGACUUAUAGGCAGUGGCUAGGUUAAGGUACAAAAACCGGAGCCAUAGCGAAAGCGAGUCUUAAUAGGGCGAUGUCACUGUCUAUAGACCCGAACCCGGGUGAUCUAACCAUGGCCAGGAUGAAGCUUUGGUGAAACUCAGUGGAAGUCCGAACCGACCGAUGUUGAAAAAUCGGCGGAUGAGUUGUGGUUAGGGGUGAAAUGCCAAUCGAACUCGGAGCUAGCUGGUUCUCCCCGAAAUGCGUUGAGGCGCAGCGGUUGGAUAGGGCUUUCUAGGGGUAAAGCACUGUUUCGGUGCGGGCUGCGAGAGCGGUACCAAAUCGAUGCAAACUCUGAAUACUAGAAACGCCUCCAUCCAACCAGUGAGACGGUGGGGGAUAAGCUCCAUCGUCGAGAGGGAAACAGCCCAGAUCACCAGCUAAGGCCCCUAAAUGGCCGCUAAGUGGCAAAGGAUGUGAGAGUGCAGAGACAACCAGGAGGUUUGCCUAGAAGCAGCCACCCUUAAAAGAGUGCGUAAUAGCUCACUGGUCAAGCGCUCUUGCGCCGAAAAUGGACGGGACUAAGCGGCCUGCCGAAGCUGUGAGAUGUCUCUAUGGAGAUAUCGGUAGGGGAGCGUUCCGCUAUAGGGUGAAGCAUCAGCGUAAGUAGAUGUGGACGAAGCGGAAGUGAGAAUGUCGGCUUGAGUAGCGAAAACAUUGGUGAGAAUCCAAUGCCCCGAAAACCUAAGGGUUCCUCCGCAAGGCUCGUCCACGGAGGGUUAGUCAGGACCUAAGGAAAGGCCGAAAGGCGUAUUCGAUGGACAACAGGUUAAUAUUCCUGUACUAUGAUGGGUUGGCACCGAGGGACGGAGAAGGCUAAGUCAGCCGGAUGCUGGUUACCGGUUUAAGCGAUCAAGGCUAUGAGAGGUAGAGAAAAUACCUUGAGCUAAGACGUAAAUACGAGGUGCUUAGGCGCUGAAGUGACUGAUGUCAAGCUUCCAAGAAAAGCUCGAAAUGCCAUAAACCCAUAGUACCUGUACCCGAAACCGACACAGGUAGGUAGGUAGAGUAUACCAAGGGGCGCGAGAUAACUCUCUCUAAGGAACUCGGCAAAAUAGCCCCGUAACUUCGGGAGAAGGGGUACCCCGUAAGGGGUCGCAGUGACCAGGCCCAGGCGACUGUUUACCAAAAACACAGGUCUCCGCUAAGUCGUAAGACAAGAUAUGGGGGCUGACGCCUGCCCAGUGCCGGAAGGUUAAGGAAGUUGGUCACCCGUAAGGGGAAGCUAGCGACCGAAGCCCCGGUGAACGGCGGCCGUAACUAUAACGGUCCUAAGGUAGCGAAAUUCCUUGUCGGGUAAGUUCCGACCCGCAUGAAUGGUGUUACGACUGCCCCACUGUCUCCAGCAUGGGCUCCGUGAAAUUGAAUUCUCCGUGAAGAUGCGGAGUACCAACGGCUAGACGGUAAGACCCCGUGCACCUUAACUGUUCCCAUUGUAUGAUGUACUGGAAUUCGAAUGUGUAGUAUAGGUGGGAGUGAAACACUUUUUCACGUUAGUGAAAUACCACCCUUUUACGAUUUUCGUCAUCUAACUUUUUAUUAAGGAAAUACUAUGGUAGACAGUUUGACUGGGGCGGUCGCCUCCUGAAAAGUAACGGAGGCGUACAAAGGUAAGCCAAAAUAGAUAAACUAUGCGCAAUGGCAGAAGCUUGCCUGACUGCAAGAAAAACAGUUCGAGCAGAGACGAAAGUCGGUCAUAGUGAUCCGGGGUUUCCUUGUGGAUGGGACCCCGCUCAACGGAUCAAAGGUACGCCGGGGAUAACAGGCUGAUGACUCCCAAGAGUUCCCAUCGACGGAGUCGUUUGGCACCUCGAUGUCGACUCAUCACAUCCUGGAGCUGAAGAAGGUUCCAAGGGUUCGGCUGUUCGCCGAUUAAAGUGGUACGUGAGUUGGGUUUAGAACGUCGUGAGACAGUUCGGUUCCUAUCUACCGUUGGAAAAUAAGCACAUUAGUGUGUUAAAAAGUUGUGGAGGCUCUUCUUUAGUACGAGAGGACCAAGAAGAAUCAACCCUGGGUGAACCGAUUGUUCUACCAAGAGCAUCGUCGGGAAGCUAAGUUGAUAUUAUAGUUGUGAGAAAGUCUGAUGUUCUUCUAAGACUGAAUCAUUCUCCAAAAAGCUUUUUUCUUACAUAAUAGACUAUUAUGAUAUUAGGAGUUUUGAAAAGUGUACCAACUGUAAAGUUAUUUUUAGCUUACAUUCCUAAUAAAAUUUUCCUUUUUUAUGC